UAGUAUUUGGGCACUCAGAAGAUGGCCAACGGAAACUAUUUUUUUGGUCAAAGGAAAAAUUAAACCAAUUUUAAGGAAAUUAACUUUCAUAACUUUGACACUCUUAUUAAAAUGUGAAAACAUUUGUACAUAUAUGAUAUAAACACAUACUAUUAGUUUAACAUUACAACCCUUAAAAAACAAUUUCAGUAGAAAAUAUUUUUCAUAUAUAAGUUAUUUUCCGCAAAAUAAAUGGAGCCCUAAUUGAUGAAAAUUUUCCCUCAUAAUGUGUGCUGGGACAGGGACACAAGGAAUACUUGAGAAACCACAUUUUACCGAAUCCACGUACCUAUAUCAGUUCAAGAGGGUACACUUUUCCAAAGAAGACAGAGGUCCUUUUAACAAAGAUUACACCAUUGAAGGAUAAAGAGGAAGUUACUGAAGGAAAUGAUGCAAUGGAAGAGUGAAAAUCAUCAACAUCAUGGUUUAGAUUUUAACAACUUUAUUUUGUUCUUUGUGGCCUUUGUGAUGACAGUAUCUUUUGUAAUUUCCUAUUUCAAAACCUCAAUGAAUCCAUAUUGAAACGUUUUUGCUCCA
Long non-coding RNA from Hevea brasiliensis (rubber tree), 576 nucleotides. RefSeq lists it as uncharacterized. Lineage: Eukaryota; Viridiplantae; Streptophyta; Magnoliopsida; Malpighiales; Euphorbiaceae. The transcript is spliced from 2 exons. The record is from RefSeq and is a predicted model, not a curated record.